Phrynosoma platyrhinos (Desert horned lizard) is the source of this 73-nucleotide non-coding RNA. The record is from the annotation of a GenBank genome assembly. NCBI's taxonomy places the organism in Eukaryota, Metazoa, Chordata, Lepidosauria, Squamata, Phrynosomatidae.
UGGUCUAUGAUGUAGUGGUUUGAGUGUUGGACUGGGACUCUGGAGAACAGGGUUCAAAUCCCUGCUGGAGCAU